GCCGGGCGUCGUGGUGCACGCCUGUAAUCCCAGCUACUCGGGAGGCUGAGGCGGGAGAAUUGCUCGAACCCAGGAGGCAGAGGUUGCAGUGAGCCAAGAUCGCGUCACUGCACUCUAGCCUGGGCGACAGAGUGGGACUCCGUCUCAA
Molecule: non-coding RNA, 148 nt
Filed under: Homo sapiens (human)
Lineage: Eukaryota; Metazoa; Chordata; Mammalia; Primates; Hominidae
Source: Rfam by way of RNAcentral